RNAcentral lists this ribosomal RNA (607 nucleotides) under Streptomyces sp. 04-197-3259. RNAcentral's name for it is "bacterial SSU rRNA". It matches the Rfam family "Bacterial small subunit ribosomal RNA", at positions 46 to 669 of the family's 1533-position model. The record is from RNAcentral. Lineage: Bacteria; Bacillati; Actinomycetota; Actinomycetes; Kitasatosporales; Streptomycetaceae.
GCUUAACACAUGCAAGUCGAACGAUGAACCACUUCGGUGGGGAUUAGUGGCGAACGGGUGAGUAACACGUGGGCAAUCUGCCCUGCACUCUGGGACAAGCCCUGGAAACGGGGUCUAAUACCGGAUACUGACCAUCUUGGGCAUCUUUGAUGGUCGAAAGCUCCGGCGGUGCAGGAUGAGCCCGCGGCCUAUCAGCUAGUUGGUGAGGUAAUGGCUCACCAAGGCGACGACGGGUAGCCGGCCUGAGAGGGCGACCGGCCACACUGGGACUGAGACACGGCCCAGACUCCUACGGGAGGCAGCAGUGGGGAAUAUUGCACAAUGGGCGAAAGCCUGAUGCAGCGACGCCGCGUGAGGGAUGACGGCCUUCGGGUUGUAAACCUCUUUCAGCAGGGAAGAAGCGAAAGUGACGGUACCUGCAGAAGAAGCGCCGGCUAACUACGUGCCAGCAGCCGCGGUAAUACGUAGGGCGCAAGCGUUGUCCGGAAUUAUUGGGCGUAAAGAGCUCGUAGGCGGCUUGUCACGUCGGUUGUGAAAGCCCGGGGCUUAACCCCGGGUCUGCAGUCGAUACGGGCAGGCUAGAGUUCGGUAGGGGAGAUCGGAAUUC